CGAUGGCAAAUUCAUACACUUUCCUUGCCAAUUUGAGAGCCGGCCGAUGCUCUAACACCGCCGAGGUCCAUCUGUUGCCGCUUAAACUUUCAUCUAGAUAGUGUAUGAAAGCAUGAUGAAACUCUCAGUUGAGAAACUCCAUAUUACGAGUUUACAAAAAGCCUAUGGAGCGCUCAAGGAUUCCACCGCCGUUGGUCUGGUUGGUCUUGCUAAGGCCAACAGUGAAUUCAAGGAUUUAUAUAUUGUGAUCGGCAAGGCAUCAAAGUAUAUUUAAUCUCCUCCCAAAGAACGUCAUGUUUGCAGUCCUCUGCAAUUUCAAAACUAGGAUUUAAUUCAAGAACUACUAAUAACUACGAUGCAGUUGUCUUUCUGCAAAUAUAUUCUCGGGGACAUCUCUACUACAACCACAAGCAGAUGGUGUUUACAACAUCCAUGCAUUGUCAAAGAGAUUAUCCAAAACUCGCACUUGGUUAUAAGCUUCUUUGCUUCUCUGUAAGUUUCCCUCUGAACAAGAAGAUCCUAUAAAUGUAUUUUCAGUUUGAGAAACACAUGUACGUACAAGUAGAAAUGAAGAUGUUGAUCAUAGUCAUUCACAGAAUGUUAAGGGAAGGUGAUCCUACGUUCAUAGAAGAGCUUUUAAAUUACUCUCAGAGAAGACACAUUUUCAAGAUUUUGAAACUCAAACUUCAAAGACGAUACAAGUCCUCUUGCCUGGUAUUGCUCUGCUUGGGAUAGAACAGACGCGCUCUUUCUCGAAGAGCGGCAUAAAUGUUAUCAUGUUUUAAAAUAUGAUAUAGAGGCAGAGUGUUUGGUAAGAGCUUAAGGUGCAGCUUCCAAGGUGAUAACAACCCCGGAUAUGAUAUACCUGGAGCGUUUAUGUUGAUCACACUAUUAUAUGGUUCAUGUGCAGGGGGUGAUAACAAUCAUGAAUAUGAUAUACCUGGAGCUGGGCCUGUUUCAUUAAAACCUUUGAAAAAUUUGUCCAAAAUAGUCUCAGCUACCUCCUCUGGAUGGCUUCUUCUUGAGAUACAGAAGGAUCAACAGCCUCUGACAAUGUCAUCCAUGUUGAAUUUGUGUAUGGUGCAUUAUCAAAAAGCCACGCAAUGCUUAGCUUCCAAGCUUAGGAAUGGGCAAGACCAAAGCUGACAAUUGCUCAUUCUUAGGAUUUUAUCUACUCUUACGCUCAAAUAAAUUGACUAGGAUUACGUUUUGUUCUUGAAUCAUGUCAUUGUUGGUCUUUUAUCUUCACAUUUUUUAAUAAAUAACACCUCUUGACUUUU
RNA transcript from Brassica rapa (field mustard), 1280 nucleotides. RefSeq lists it as uncharacterized. The record is from RefSeq and is a predicted model, not a curated record. Lineage: Eukaryota; Viridiplantae; Streptophyta; Magnoliopsida; Brassicales; Brassicaceae.